CCUUUAGUCAGGGCUUUCAUGUCCUACCUUGGCUUGCCAUCUGACUUUUCAGGUCAUUACUCCAUUCCGAUUACAGCGCUUACUGGCCUGAAGAAUGGCCAGUGGGUCCCUCUCGGGUGAUUAGAGGGGUGGGAGGGAAAAUCUCUACUAAAAGGUCCCUGGCAGAGUUGGAAAUUGUCAUAGUUAACAGAGACAGCUCACUGGAAAAACCGGCUUUGCUUGUUCCACUUACUGCUAAAGUACCUAGGACUCUACUAGUCCUACGGGAUAGUUCUCCCUAUUGCCCCUAUAUGCAUAUGCUUGCUUGAAUAUGAAGCUAUGCUUAGAACAAGGUCAGUAUGACCUUGAAGAAGUAGUAAACAAGUUUUGGGGAGUUGAUCAAGAAAUAGAACAAUGGGGGAAAGAUCAUUAAGGAUAUUGCUGAUGUGGUGUGUUGCUUGAGCCCCCCAAUCAGCAUAUAGGAAACGGUAUUUCAGACCAAUCGGGGAUUGACGAAUGUACUAGGGGACUAUAAGAAUAGAUGUGUUGCUACAAUAAACGCCUUUGCUGCUCACCAGAUUGGUGUACGCUUGCAGUUAUUGGCCCUGACCAAGCGUUUGGUCAGAUAUGCAAGGGUAAGCACACAGGCUUGAAGAACCAGAUGCCACAUUAACUCUGACUGUAACAUGGAGAUCUGACAAGGAUAUGUGUCAGUAAGCUGAUCAUGAAGGAAUCUACUGCUAACAACAAAAAAUAUUUAUCCAGGCUGAUAGAUGUGUCAGAAAUCUCUUCUGAAUAGUCUGUCCACCUCAAGCAUACUGCUCCACAGUGCUCUUACGCAGUCCUGGGAGAGCAGCAGAGCAAAUGACAUCACUGCCAAGCUCAUCAGUGCUGCCAACUUGUGCCAAGAUUGUCUGAAAGGGAGGCAUCUAGAGUGAAGUUACUUUCCAUAAAAAAACGGCAGAGAACAGGGUGCCACCAGGGGAUGAACCUCACCCUCAAGAAGAGUUCUGCUGCAGCUGGCACACUCCAUUCUCUGAAGAUUGCUAUACUGAUGAUGGAGGAAGCAGAAGGCAGUGUUUUAGAUCAAACCUCCAACCUUUAAAAUCAGGUGAGAUACAUCCUCUAAUCCCUGCUCAACUGCCCCCU
This 1128-nucleotide long non-coding RNA is filed under the name Coturnix japonica (Japanese quail). RNAcentral describes it as "lncRNA (ENSCJPG00005009231.1)". The record is from RNAcentral. Lineage: Eukaryota; Metazoa; Chordata; Aves; Galliformes; Phasianidae.